RNAcentral lists this ribosomal RNA (427 nucleotides) under uncultured bacterium. RNAcentral describes it as "bacterial SSU rRNA". It matches the Rfam family "Bacterial small subunit ribosomal RNA", at positions 355 to 775 of the family's 1533-position model. The record is from RNAcentral.
UAGGGAAUCUUCCGCAAUGGACGCAAGUCUGACGGAGCAACGCCGCGUGAGUGAAGAAGGUUUUCGGAUCGUAAAGCUCUGUUGCCAGGGAAGAAUGCUUGGGAGAGUAACUGCUCCUGAGGUGACGGUACCUGAGAAGAAAGCCCCGGCUAACUACGUGCCAGCAGCCGCGGUAAUACGUAGGGGGCAAGCGUUGUCCGGAAUUAUUGGGCGUAAAGCGCGCGCAGGCGGUGAUGUAAGUUGGGUGUUUAAACCUAGGGCUCAACCUUGGGACGCAUCCAAAACUGCAUGACUUGAGUACAGAAGAGGGAAGUGGAAUUCCACGUGUAGCGGUGAAAUGCGUAGAUAUGUGGAGGAACACCAGUGGCGAAGGCGACUUUCUGGGCUGUAACUGACGCUGAGGCGCGAAAGCGUGGGGAGCAAACAG